RNAcentral lists this ribosomal RNA (253 nucleotides) under uncultured bacterium. RNAcentral's name for it is "partial 16S ribosomal RNA". It matches the Rfam family "Bacterial small subunit ribosomal RNA", at positions 524 to 776 of the family's 1533-position model. The record is from RNAcentral.
UACGUAGGGGGCAAGCGUUAUCCGGAUUCACUGGGUGUAAAGGGAGCGUAGACGGCGACGCAAGUCUGGAGUGAAAGCCCGGGGCCCAACCCCGGGACUGCUCUGGAAACUGCGUGGCUGGAGUGCAGGAGGGGCAGGCGGAAUUCCUGGUGUAGCGGUGAAAUGCGUAGAUAUCAGGAGGAACACCGGUGGCGAAGGCGGCCUGCUGGACUGCAACUGACGUUGAGGCUCGAAAGCGUGGGGAGCAAACAGG